GAUGAACGCUGGCGGCGUGCCUAAUACAUGCAAGUCGAGCGAACAGACGAGAACCUUGCUCCUCUGACCUUAGCGGCGCACGGGUGAGUAACACGUGCAUAACCUCCCUAUAAGACUGGGAUAACUUCGGGACACCGUAUAUAAUAUCAGACAAUACAUUCAACCGCAUGCUUCAUUAGUAAAAGACGUUUUUGUUGUCAGUGUGGGAUGGGCUCGCGGCCUAUCAGCUUGUUGGUGAGGUAAUGGCUUACCAAGGCGACGACGGGUAGCCGGCCUGAGAGGGCGACCGGCCACACUGGGACUGAGACACGGCCCAGACUCCUACGGGAGGCAGCAGUGGGGAAUAUUGCACAAUGGGCGAAAGCCUGAUGCAGCGACGCCGCGUGAGGGAUGACGGCCUUCGGGUUGUAAACCUCUUUCAGCAGGGAAGAAGCGAAAGUGACGGUACCUGCAGAAGAAGCACCGGCUAACUACGUG
RNAcentral lists this ribosomal RNA (477 nucleotides) under uncultured bacterium. RNAcentral's name for it is "partial 16S ribosomal RNA". It matches the Rfam family "Bacterial small subunit ribosomal RNA", at positions 28 to 507 of the family's 1533-position model. The record is from RNAcentral.